GACGAACGCUGGCGGCGUGCUUAACACAUGCAAGUCGAACGGAAAGGCCCUGCUUUUGUGGGGUGCUCGAGUGGCGAACGGGUGAGUAACAAGUGAGUAACCUGCCCUUGACUUUGGGAUAACUUCAGGAAACUGGGGCUAAUACCGGAUAGGAGCUCCUGCUGCAUGGUGGGGGUUGGAAAGGUUCGGCGGUUGGGGAUGGACUCGCGGCUUAUCAGCUUGUUGGUGGGGUAGUGGCUUACCAAGGCUUUGACGGGUAGCCGGCCUGAGAGGGUGACCGGCCACAUUGGGACUGAGAUACGGCCCAGACUCCUACGGGAGGCAGCAGUGGGGAAUAUUGCACAAUGGGCGGAAGCCUGAUGCAGCAACGCCGCGUGCGGGAUGACGGCCUUCGGGUUGUAAACCGCUUUCGCCUGUGACGAAGCGUGAGUGACGGUAAUGGGUAAAGAAGCACCGGCUAACUACGUG
RNAcentral lists this ribosomal RNA (468 nucleotides) under uncultured bacterium. Its description in RNAcentral is "partial 16S ribosomal RNA". It matches the Rfam family "Bacterial small subunit ribosomal RNA", at positions 28 to 507 of the family's 1533-position model. The record is from RNAcentral.